UACGUAGGGGGCUAGCGUUGCUCGGAAUCACUGGGCGUAAAGGGCGCGUAGGCGGGCUCUUAAGUCCGGGGUGAAAGCCCAAGGCUCAACCUUGGAAUUGCCUUUGAUACUGAGGGCCUUGAGACCGGAAGAGGUCGGCGGAACUGCGAGUGUAGAGGUGAAAUUCGUAGAUAUUCGCAAGAACACCAGUGGCGAAGGCGGCCGACUGGUCCGGUUCUGACGCUGAGGCGCGAAAGCGUGGGGAGCAAACAGG
RNAcentral lists this ribosomal RNA (253 nucleotides) under uncultured bacterium. RNAcentral's name for it is "partial 16S ribosomal RNA". It matches the Rfam family "Bacterial small subunit ribosomal RNA", at positions 524 to 776 of the family's 1533-position model. The record is from RNAcentral.